ACUAGGAUUAGAUACCCUAUUAUUUUAAACUCUUUAGGUAGUAUUUUAUUAUUUAAAAACCUUUGCAAUUUGGCGGCAUUACUUUGUUUUAGAGGAACCUGCCCCCUAAUCGACAAUCCACGUUAAUUUUUACUUUUUAUUAUAUCUUAUAUACCACCAUCUCUAGACUUAAUAAUUAAUAUUAACUCUUUUUAGGUGUCUAAAAAGUUAGGUAAAGGUGUAGACUAUAAAAGAGUUAAGGUGGGUUACUAUAAAUUAAAUUUAAGAAUACAAAAUAAAAAUUUUGGUUGAAAUCGGAUUUAUUAGUAAUUUUUAGAUAAUAUCCCCUUAUGAACUUUUAAACAUGUGCACACAUCGCCCGUCGCUC
This 367-nucleotide ribosomal RNA is filed under the name Edricus spiniger. RNAcentral describes it as "partial small subunit ribosomal RNA". Lineage: Eukaryota; Metazoa; Arthropoda; Arachnida; Araneae; Araneidae. The record is from RNAcentral.